CCAAACUCGGAGGGGACACGGCAACUCCAUCGCGUCCUUUCACCAGCGGAUACAGGGGUUUUUGCUGCAGCUCAGGUGGGAAUGCAGUGUCAUGCUCUUGGCAACCUGGACCUCCCAGGCUCAAGGGAUCCUCUCCGUCAGCCUCCAGAGUAGCUGGUGAUCCUCCCCCCUCAGCCUACAGAGUAGCUGGGAAUACAAGUCCUGCAUGCCAGUAAAACUACUCAUGUCAGCUGUUCUGCAGGAUCCCAUGAGAAGGUGAGUCACCAGAAAAUGCAGUUUCCACAUCCUGAUGAUUUCAUCUCCCUACCCCAACUGAUCAAUUUCUCCAAUUUUCCAGCCUCUCACCCUCCACAAUCCCCUUAAAAACUGUAGCCCAGAACUCUCUGGAAUGAUGAAUUUGAAGGUUUGCUCCUGUCUCCUCACUCAGAAGCCUGUAAUCAUUAAACUCUUUCUCUGAUGCAAACUCUG
This 468-nucleotide long non-coding RNA is filed under the name Homo sapiens (human). Its description in RNAcentral is "HSALNT0326279". The record is from RNAcentral. Lineage: Eukaryota; Metazoa; Chordata; Mammalia; Primates; Hominidae.